CCGUGUCAGGCCCAACGACCAUAUUUUUCAAAUUUCAUCUUUUUGUGUUUUUGUGGACCCCACCCGAAAUUUUCACCACUUAAACACAUUUUACCCUUAAUCUACGAAUAAAAUUUGAUUUUCUUUCACUCUCUCUCAUUUUCACAUCAUACUUCUCAUUCCUCACAUUUUCUUAACCUUCCUCCAUAACCAAACUACCUUAAAGCUCCCAACUUUAGCACCUUACUCUGUC
This 232-nucleotide long non-coding RNA is filed under the name Lathyrus oleraceus (garden pea). Its description in RNAcentral is "Pisum sativum (pea) long non-coding RNA (PSAT_LNC014482)". The record is from RNAcentral. Lineage: Eukaryota; Viridiplantae; Streptophyta; Magnoliopsida; Fabales; Fabaceae.